AAGCGACGUUCAACCGCAAAAGAAGCAGAGGGGGCUUAGUGGUGGGGUGACUGCGUACCUUUUGUAUAAUGGGUCAGCGACUUAUAUUCUGUAGCAAGGUUAACCGAAUAGGGGAGCCGGAGGGAAACCGAGUCUUAAUUGGGCGUUAAGUUGCAGGGUAUAGACCCGAAACCCGGUGAUCUAGCCAUGGGCAGGUUGAAGGUUGGGUAACACUAACUGGAGGACCGAACCGACUAAUGUUGAAAAAUUAGCGGAUGACCUGUGGCUGGGGGUGAAAGGCCAAUCAAACCGGGAGAUAGCUGGUUCUCCCCGAAAGCUAUUUAGGUAGCGCCUCGUGAAUUCAUCUCCGGGGGUAGAGCACUGUUUCGGCUAGGGGGCCAUCCCGGCUUACCAACCCGAUGCAAACUGCGAAUACCGGAGAAUGUUAUCACGGGAGACACACGGCGGGUGCUAACGUCCGUCGUGAAGAGGGAAACAACCCAGACCGCCAGCUAAGGUCCCAAAGUCAUGGUUAAGUGGGAAACGAUGUGGGAAGGCCCAGACAGCCAGGAUGUUGGCUUAGAAGCAGCCAUCAUUUAAAGAAAGCGUAAUAGCUCACUGGUCGAGUCGGCCUGCGCGGAAGAUGUAACGGGGCUAAACCAUGCACCGAAGCUGCGGCAGCGACACUGUGUGUUGUUGGGUAGGGGAGCGUUCUGUAAGCCUG
RNAcentral lists this ribosomal RNA (703 nucleotides) under Salmonella enterica. RNAcentral's name for it is "partial 23S ribosomal RNA". It matches the Rfam family "Bacterial large subunit ribosomal RNA", at positions 568 to 1251 of the family's 2925-position model. The record is from RNAcentral. Lineage: Bacteria; Pseudomonadati; Pseudomonadota; Gammaproteobacteria; Enterobacterales; Enterobacteriaceae.